GCGAAAGUAGCUCAGUUGAUAGAGCGUCAGCCUUCCAAGCUGAGGGUCGCGGGUUUGAGCCCCGUCUUUCGCUCAA
This 76-nucleotide transfer RNA is filed under the name Carboxylicivirga sp. M1479. Its description in RNAcentral is "tRNA-Gly". It matches the Rfam family "tRNA". Rfam says of the family: Transfer RNA (tRNA) molecules are approximately 80 nucleotides in length. Their secondary structure includes four short double-helical elements and three loops (D, anti-codon, and T loops). Further hydrogen bonds mediate the characteristic L-shaped molecular structure. tRNAs have two regions of fundamental functional importance: the anti-codon, which is responsible for specific mRNA codon recognition, and the 3' end, to which the tRNAs corresponding amino acid is attached (by aminoacyl-tRNA synthetases). tRNAs cope with the degeneracy of the genetic code in two manners: having more than one tRNA (with a specific anti-codon) for a particular amino acid; and 'wobble' base-pairing, i.e. permitting non-standard base-pairing at the 3rd anti-codon position. The record is from RNAcentral. Lineage: Bacteria; Pseudomonadati; Bacteroidota; Bacteroidia; Marinilabiliales; Marinilabiliaceae.